This 75-nucleotide transfer RNA is filed under the name Bacteroidales bacterium. Its description in RNAcentral is "tRNA-Lys". It matches the Rfam family "tRNA". From Rfam's summary of the family: Transfer RNA (tRNA) molecules are approximately 80 nucleotides in length. Lineage: Bacteria; Pseudomonadati; Bacteroidota; Bacteroidia; Bacteroidales. The record is from RNAcentral.
GGCUUCGUAGCUCAGUCUGGUCAGAGCACUGGACUCUUAAUCCAGGUGUCGCGGGUUCGAAUCCCGUCGAGGCCA